ACACUUAUGCAUGUGGGAAACUAAUGGCACAUGAGUUGUUUCUAAAGUGAGCAAGAAAUAUUAGUUCCCAAACGGAAAGUGUAGUCCAAUUCCUUCACAUUUUCCAGUUACUUCUUGCUCUCUUCUAUUUAUGUCAUUGGAAGGGAGGAUCUCAUUAAUUUGUUGCUCUUUAUCUUCUUCUUUUCAGUUCCCUGCUUUGUUUAUGAUUGCAUCAUUAUCUCUACGAGCUCUGCUGCUGGCCAAUUUUUAUUUUUUUCACAAUUGAAAAUUUUGGACCUGUUGUUUUUACAAUCUUCAUGACAGUGAGGCAGGUGCUGUCUGUAUUACUAUCGUGUUAUAGCUACUCACACACCGUCAGUAAUAUCAGCAUCAUAGGUGUAAUUUUAAUAUUCAUUGCCACUUUCCUACGGUUGUACUGUGAUCAACGGAUGAAAACAUCAAAGAGACGCAAUCAUCCUCUACUAUCAACCCCUGUCUAAUCAUUCUCCGUUUACUACAGAUGGCUCAAUGUUGAUGGGCGGAUAGUCCUAUGAACCAGAAUUGUCUGUACUUGACCGUGAUACCUACUUGACACACUUGAAAUUGAAAGGAAUUCAUCGUUAAUGUGCUGCAGAAAUGUUAAAUGUAACCACCGACACCGGACUUAUUUCAUUUUAGGUAUCCUGGUCAAGUUUAAUUUUUAGUUUAUAUCCUUUAAAAUAGUUAUGUUCAAUACUGUGACAGAAAUUUUGGCUUAUUAGCUGCUGGUUUGAAUGGAUGGGUCGUCUUCCAAAUUUAAAAAAGUAAACUCAAGAAAGUAUUGUCUCGGAAAAUUGUCCAACUUUCUUUAUUCACUUAUCUUGAGAAGGAAAGAUGAACCCAUCUUAUUACAAGCUUUUUGUGCACUAUUUUACGAAUAGGAAGUUAUGUUCUUCCGUAUUUAAGACAACGUUUGUUUGCUGUACCUAAAUUACUACAUCUGAGGGGCUUGGAAGACAAGGCACACAAGUGGGUGAAUUCAAAUAAGCGUCUAAUCUGGUGUCCCCAGUUGUUUUAAUCGUCAUAAUCUGAGAAACAUGGGCAGAUCAAAUUUUUUUCUCAUUUUCCACACUAUUGUUGACUAUCACAUGCUAUUUCCCACUUUAUUUGGACUGAAAUAAAAAUUUAGAGGGACUUUGAAUGUGCAAAUUGCCUACAUUUGUCCCAAAUUUGCUUGUCCCCCGUUCUUGACUUUAAAUCGAUGUUGCAGCCUAACUAGAGUGAUUAUUUAAGAAAACUUUAUCGGAGAUGAUAGGUAAUGCUUUUGAAUUUGAGAAAAAAAAUAUGUCAAUUUCUUUUUUGAUCCAUCAAUAACUUUUUCACGCGCUAGAAUCAUUGUCCCGAGCAACAGUCAGGAGAGACAUGGCAACAAUGUAAUAAGCUUUAAAUGAUUGCCGUAACGUUGAGGUUUUUCCAAAAACGACUUUUUUUGUUUCGAUUGAAUAGUUCACAUGUCGCAGAUGGCAGAAAUUCUAAAAAUCGCAAAUUUUUGUGCAAGAUUAACGCCAUUAACAAUGCCAAACAAAAUGCUAUACACGAUAACUAACAGGGCGUCAAGCAUACACACACACACUAAUAUCAGCUUGUAAAAUACUUUCGAAGUGUGCGUUAGGGAAAAUUUUUUCUUAUUCCGAUACUCCAGGAUGUGCUACUAAAUAUUCCGUGAAAAUAACACCAAAAUUGUCUAUACUGUUAGAGAUAAGCUUAAAAAACAGCUUAUUUCCAUCCUGUCCCAUAGUUCUCCAUCCUGUCCCAGUGUCCCAGUUUAAUGGGACAGAGUGGAAAACUGUUACAACUGAGACUUGCUUGUUUAAGCCCUGUAGGCGCUCUUUUCUACCGAUUUAAGUGAAACUUGGUAUCGGGGGGUAUUUUUCAAUGGGGAACACGAAUUUUUAGUCGAAUUUUGAAAAUUCGAAAAUCCAAGAUGGCGGACAUGACCUAAAAUGCUAUCGCAGCGCCUAAUCAAUUGAGACUUGCUUGUUUAAGCCUGUAUGCGUUCUUUUCGACCGAUUUAAGUGAAACUUGGUACCGGGGGGUAUUUUUCAAUGGGGAACUCGAAUUUUUAGUCGAAUUUUGAAAAUUCGAAAAUCCAAGAUGGCGGACAUUACCUAUAAUGCUAUCGCAAAGCCUAAUCAACUGAGACUUGUUUGUGUAAGCCCUGUAGGCGCUCUUUUCUACCGAUUUAAGUGAAACUUGGUAUCGGGGGGUAUUUUCAAUGAGGAACUCGAAUUUUCAGUCGAAUUUUGAAAAUUCGAAAAUCCAAGAUGGCGCACAUGGCCUAAAAUGCCAUCUCAGUGCCUAAUCAAUUGAUUUGUACAGCCGUGGCACUUGUAGGUCGUUCUUGGUAGGGCAUUCCCGCGAGGCGUGGUUUCCGGCGCAGUAGCGGCAGAUGUCUUGGCCUACUGCCCUGACACAUUUCUCCUGAGUAUGCCCCAGCAGUU
Molecule: long non-coding RNA, 2459 nt
Filed under: Bemisia tabaci
Lineage: Eukaryota; Metazoa; Arthropoda; Insecta; Hemiptera; Aleyrodidae
Description: lncRNA ENSSSA2NGG012304
Source: RNAcentral